GACGAACGCUGGCGGCGUGCUUAACACAUGCAAGUCGUACGGUAAGGCCCUUUCGGGGGUCCACGAGUGGCGAACGGGGGAGUAACACGGGAGUAACCUGCCCACAACUUUGGGAUAACGCUAGGAAACUGGGGCUAAUACUGGAUAUGUGCUCCUGCUGCAUGGGGGGGGUUGGAAAGCUCCGGCGGUUGUGGGUGGACUCGCGGCCUAUCAGCCUGUUGGUGGGGUAGUGGCCUACCAAGGCGGCGACGGGUAGCCGGCCGGAGGGGGUGACCGGCCACACUGGGACUGAGAUACGGCCCAGACUCCUACGGGAGGCAGCAGUGGGGAAUCUUGCACAAUGGGCGCAAGCCUGAUGCAGCAACGCCGCGUGCGGGAUGACGGCCUUCGGGUUGUAAACCGCUUUCAGCAGGGACGAAGCUUUUUGUGACGGUACCUGCAGAAGAAGCACCGGCUAACUACGUG
Molecule: ribosomal RNA, 465 nt
Filed under: uncultured bacterium
Lineage: Bacteria
Description: partial 16S ribosomal RNA
Rfam family: Bacterial small subunit ribosomal RNA
Source: RNAcentral